Monopterus albus (swamp eel) is the source of this 510-nucleotide long non-coding RNA. RefSeq lists it as uncharacterized. The record is from RefSeq and is a predicted model, not a curated record. NCBI's taxonomy places the organism in Eukaryota, Metazoa, Chordata, Actinopteri, Synbranchiformes, Synbranchidae. The transcript has 2 exons.
GCAUAUGUGUGUGUUAUAGAUGCUGUGCAACAUAAUCAUCUGACAUCUGAUGCCACGGACCAAGAAACUGAGACCAGGAUUACAAAAUGACUUCAAAAUGCACCAGAUAGGAACUAAGCAAACAAAUGACAAAGCGAUGAUACAUUUAUGAAUGUUGAAAGGCUAUACCAAACUGUUCACUGAUGUUGCUGCUGUUUCAAGAGAAGAUAGUGUUCCAAUGUCUUUUUGCAGUCUUAAAUUUGAUGCAAUGUUUUAGAUAUUUUGGCUGCUGUGUGACUGAAGCUUCUGAGAUUUGAUGCCACGGACCAAGAAAUGGAGACCAGGAUUCCAAGUUGACAUGCACCAGAUGGGCGAAGCAAACAUCGGAAUGAUGGAGCAGCCAUACAUUUACUCUUCAUGCUGUUCUAUCUUUGGCCAAUGCUUACACUUGCAAAAUUUACCUGAGUGACAUAGUGCAAGACUGCAGAGUGUAGGAUGAAAAAAUCAGAAUACACAGACAUGAAUCUGGAA